Molecule: small nuclear RNA, 89 nt
Filed under: Pelagodinium bei
Lineage: Eukaryota; Dinophyceae; Suessiales; Suessiaceae
Description: Pelagodinium beii partial Dictyostelium signal recognition particle
Source: RNAcentral
UCUGCAGGCUGCUGCAAGAGAGCAUGCAGAGGAAAGUCCUGAUCGCUGCGAUGCGACCGCAGAUGAAGUCACUUCAAAGAUGUCUGUUG